Non-coding RNA from Cinara cedri, 312 nucleotides. NCBI's taxonomy places the organism in Eukaryota, Metazoa, Arthropoda, Insecta, Hemiptera, Aphididae. The record is from the annotation of a GenBank genome assembly.
UAGCCACGCGUGAAACCCAACAAUAAUUGGCACGAAAAAUCGGCGUUUUUGUCGUUGAACCCUUGAACCUCCCCUCCGUGUACACGUGUCUGGUUCAUAUACUACUAUAAUGCGCGCACAUUGUGCAGACGUUGAAACUCGAUAUUAUUUUUUUACGAGUACGAUAGAAGUGUAUCGUUUUUACGAACGGCGUUAUAAUUAUUAUUAAACGACCAAAAUUGGAAAAUCUUAAUUCGAUCACCAUUCAUCUACUAGGGCCACCAAAACCUAAAUUUUAUUUAAAUGCCAUUGAACGCUACUCUACAGUGUCUG